GUGGGGAAUAUUGGGCAAUGGGCGAAAGCCUGACCCAGCAACGCCGCGUGAAGGAAGAAGGUCUUCGGAUCGUAAACUUCUAUCCUUGGUGAAGAUAAUGACGGUAGCCGAGAAGGAAGCCCCGGCUAACUACGUGCCAGCAGCCGCGGUAAUACGUAGGGGGCAAGCGUUGUCCGGAAUGAUUGGGCGUAAAGGGCGCGUAGGUGGCCUGGUAAGUCUGGAGUGAAAGUCCUGCUUUUAAGGUGGGAAUUGCUUUGGAUACUGUCGGGCUUGAGUGCAGGAGAGGUAAGUGGAAUUCCCGGUGUAGCGGUGAAAUGCGUAGAGAUCGGGAGGAACACCAGUGGCGAAGGCGACUUACUGGACUGUAACUGACGCUGAGGCUCGAAAGCCAGGGGAGCGAACGGGAUUAGAAACCCCGGUAGUCC
RNAcentral lists this ribosomal RNA (425 nucleotides) under uncultured bacterium. RNAcentral's name for it is "partial 16S ribosomal RNA". It matches the Rfam family "Bacterial small subunit ribosomal RNA", at positions 354 to 796 of the family's 1533-position model. The record is from RNAcentral.